Molecule: long non-coding RNA, 1506 nt
Filed under: Piliocolobus tephrosceles (Ugandan red Colobus)
Lineage: Eukaryota; Metazoa; Chordata; Mammalia; Primates; Cercopithecidae
Description: lncRNA (ENSPTEG00000028787.1)
Source: RNAcentral
CUUGCUGCAGGGAUCACAUGAGUUGCCCUAACAGCUUCCCAGGGUGAGAGGGCCCAGGCUCCGUCCAUCCCCAGGGAGGGGGUGGAGCGUGGCAGAGAAACAGAAGAGCCACGGAUUGGCGGUCACAAGCUCUGAAAGGUGACUUUUCUCAGGAGAGACACAGUAGCUCAAAGGGCUCAGGAGUCAGAGACACCAGCCUUUGAGUCCUGAACCCCACUUACUGGCCACCAGUUGGAGCAAGAUGUUAGCCUCCCCGUGCCUGCAGCUCCUCCCUCCUAAGGCAGGGGAGGUGGUAAUGGUGCCUACCCUGUGGGGUGUCCUGGGAGGGUGACAGUCCAGGCUGACCUCUCCCAGGGCCCACGCAUCACACCAGGCAAGAGUUUUUUCAUCUGCACACAACACGGACUGGCACCGACUCCCAGCUGCCCUCCGGGCAGGAUGUGGACUCCCCCUGCUUUGUUCAUCAAUGUCAAAUGUCCCAGCUCUGGUUCCAACAAUAACACUGGCUCCUCAAACCUCCAACCGAAGGAACGGUUUCUGCCAAGAAAAUGUGCCUUAGGAGCUGAGACUACCAGUGGACCAGAAUUCCAGCAGUUCUCCAGGUAUGAGCUCCCAGCAGAAGGGAAAGUGUUGACUAGAGAAUCCAUCAGAAAAGUUUGUUUUCUGGAAGGACAGGACCGGCCGAUGCUGAGAAGGAAGGGGAGUAGGAGAGGCGGGAACUCCCAGCACACACCCUGGCCACUUCACCUGUCAUCCCAAAGAGCUGGUCAUGCCCCGGAUCACGUUUCAUCUCCCAGUGAGGAAAGGCAGCCAGCCACCCUCAGAGGAAAGCAUCCAUGUGGCCACCGAUGGCAGGGAGAGCAGUGUGGGGAGAAAUCUCUAUUUGGAAGAGGAGACAUAGUUGGGUGGGUGGUUCCCUGGCCUUAUCAGGCCUCUGCAGUCCAGCAUGGCACUGGGAGAGAUGGGCCGUCCUAUAUCCGCCCUGCUGGGCUUGGCUCAGUCCCCACUAGACGGAGGGCUUUGCCCUCUCACCCCUGCACUCCAUGCCACCCUGCUUCGUUGACCCCACUGGCCUCCAGGCCGCAGCCAGCUGUAGUGGGAAGAGGAGUGGGCUGACUCUCAAAGUCAGGGGUGAGGACAGGCAUGGCGCUGCCUGAACUGGCAAAUACUGGCAAUAGCAGAAAGCAGGAGAGGUGCAUCGAAGGGGAGUUAAGAUCCAGAGCAUUUAGAGACAAAUUAAACAGCUCUUUUAGAAUUCACUCAACUGGGGGUAUUGAUCACAUUUCUCCAUGGUGGCAAAAUGGACAUGGCUUAGAUAAGUCAAGGUAGCACGUACUUGAGAACGCUUUCCAUUUUCCACUGAGGUAGGUGAUGGCACAGCUGUGGCUUCAGGCUAUGUGCUUAACAUACUCUGACACUAGCGAUGUGACCUCAGGCAAACCGUAUCUCCACUUAGUCUCACCUUCCUCAUCUGUAAAACUGAGAAAAAGUUUUCAUGAAAUUAAA